Long non-coding RNA from Patella vulgata (common limpet), 295 nucleotides. RefSeq lists it as uncharacterized. The transcript has 3 exons. NCBI's taxonomy places the organism in Eukaryota, Metazoa, Mollusca, Gastropoda, Patellidae. The record is from RefSeq and is a predicted model, not a curated record.
CAAAACACUAGGUGUAGUAUGGAAGAUUGAUCUUUCGUCUUUACCAGAUAAAGGAUUAAAAAUGAUAAAUAUAUUUACUACCAAGUUAAGUGGGUCAACUAUAGGUUAUGAUGUAUAUGGUUUGUUUACUUUACAGAAAUCAAAUAUUUUGGUGCUAUUUGGUACAAUUCUGACAUAUUUUAUUGUAGCAGUACAGUUUAAACCUGACGGAACUGGAGAAAAGUGUUUGGAGAUUCUGAAAAACAUAACAUCUUACUGAUGAAUAAUAAUUUGAGUUACUUACUGCCUAUCCCCG